RNAcentral lists this ribosomal RNA (320 nucleotides) under uncultured Cortinarius. RNAcentral describes it as "eukaryotic LSU rRNA". The stretch from base 1 to 71 matches the Rfam family "5.8S ribosomal RNA", at positions 84 to 154 of the family's 154-position model. Lineage: Eukaryota; Fungi; Basidiomycota; Agaricomycetes; Agaricales; Cortinariaceae. The record is from RNAcentral.
GUGAGUCAUCGAAUCUUUGAACGCACCUUGCGCUCCUUGGUAUUCCGAGGAGCAUGCCUGUUUGAGUGUCAUUAAUAUAUAUCAACCACUCUUCUUGAGAGUGGUUUGGAUGUGGGGGGGUUUGCUGGCCUUUAUGAAGGUUCAGCUCCCCUGAAAUGCAUUAGCAGAACAACCUGUUCAUUCAUUGGUGUGAUAACUAUCUACGCUACUGAGUGCGAGGCAGUUCAGCUCCUAAUCGUCCUUGGACAAAUUUAUCAUUUUAUGUGACCUCAAAUCAGGUAGGACUACCCGCUGAACUUAAGCAUAUCAAUAAGCGGAGG